GAAUUGGUACUACCGAUAUCUGG
Molecule: non-coding RNA, 23 nt
Filed under: Arabidopsis thaliana (thale cress)
Lineage: Eukaryota; Viridiplantae; Streptophyta; Magnoliopsida; Brassicales; Brassicaceae
Source: RNAcentral